RNAcentral lists this ribosomal RNA (234 nucleotides) under uncultured bacterium. RNAcentral describes it as "partial 16S ribosomal RNA". It matches the Rfam family "Bacterial small subunit ribosomal RNA", at positions 337 to 563 of the family's 1533-position model. The record is from RNAcentral.
UCCUACGGGGGGCGGCAGUAGGGAAUCUUCCACAAUGGGCGCAAGCCUGAUGGAGCAACACCGCGUGAGUGAAGAAGGGUUUCGGCUCGUAAAGCUCUGUUGUUGGGGAAGAAUGUGCGCGAGAGUAACUGUUCACGCAGUGGCGGUAUCCCCACAGAAAGUCCCGGCUAACUCCGUGCCAGCAGCCGCGGUAAUACGGAGGUGGCGAGCGUUAUUCGGAUUUAUUUGGUUUAA